CCCACAUUCACCUUUUCAAAGCACUGUCCCUCCAAACCUCCAAACAUCUGUUAUAAAUUCAAACUUCUGCAUCAAACCACUGCCCAUUCAAAAUUUUGGCUCCAUAUUCAAAAUCUCUGCCCACAUCCAAAAUUAUGGCUCCAUAUUCAAAAUUCAAAAUUGUGACUCCACAUAUAUAUAAGAUAAUUAUUAAGACUUCACAUUCAAAAUUCAAACCACAGUGCAUCUCUCCCAGUUCCGAUACCGAUAGAAAAAUCCCAAUUCUUCAAGCAUGUCGGAAGCCAAGGAGGUGUUUGAUAACUUAAUCAUCAGAUCUUCGACGCAGACCAGUGUGCGAAUUCAGAAGAUUAAGAGCACACAGGAUGCGAUUAGGAGGCUACAACGGGAAGAAGAGGCGAUUACGAAGGCAAAGAAGUCGGUGAAGAAGUUUACCGAGAAAGAUGAUGAACAGUCUGACGGUAUAUUGCGUCCCAGAGAUUAUCUGAUGAUUCAUCAUCGUAUUCAUCGGGUUUAGAUGAGGAAUCAAGAUUUGAAUCAAGAAUAUGUAGAUGAGGAAUCAAGAUAGAGUGGCUGAUUCAACAGAGAUUCCAGCAACCCAAAAAUGGAUCAGGUGGCGGUUCGUGUUCAUAAGUCAUAUGUUAAUUGAAUAUUUGGAUGCUAUGCAGUUAUUAUCGACGAUAUAUCGGUUAUCGAUUACAAACAAGUUGCUUCCUUAAUCGCUCUGGCACUACAGAUUAACAGCUUGACCUUGGAAGGCUCUUAUCAACCAAAUUCUUAAAGUUAGAUUAUCUACAAAAUCUAAAAUCUUGAAGUAGCAAAACAGAAGGAAACAAAUACAAAUAAACACGCGCAUAAAUUCAAAUCUUGAUAGGUUUAUGUUGAAUCUCUGCAAUAUAUCUGAAUAAUCGUAUUGAGAAAUGUCGCUUCUACCAAAAGGCGAUUCUAUUCAGAUUCGCGAGGUAUGCAAUGACAAUCUGGAAGAAGAAUUCACGUUGAUUCGAGGUAUUGUUGAUGAUUUUCCGUACGUAGCAAUGGACACCGAGUUUCCAGGGAUUGUUCUUCGCCCCGUUGGUAAUUUUAAAAACAAUAGCGAUUAUCAUUCUCAAGUCGGUCAUAAUUCUCUCGUAUUCUCCGAUCCAGCAGCCUAUUCGCUGCAGUACAAAAGCAACCAAUGAUGGGUGCGGUUACCUAUCCGACCGGCUGGCCCUGUCCGAUUACGAAAACAUUGGUUUUAAGGACUGCGCAAACAAAACUUGAAUCUCGAGCUUUCAGGACUGCGAAUAAACUUCUGCAAGUGAACGUUAAUGCAGCGUAGUUCUGGGCUAUUCAGCAGCGAAUGAUUACUGGAUUCUGCAGCGAAUAUGUUCUUUAAUUCUGCACAGCGAAAGAAAGUGUUUCAGUGAACGAAUAGUUCUACGGAUGAACUAAACAACGACUGGACAGUUUUGCGAAUAAGCAACUCUCUGCAAAAGAACUGAUUCAGCUUUCAGGUCUGCGUAACAAUGUCAAUUCAGAUUCAAAUUCAGUUCGUUUAAACCCGGUUGUCGGAAACUUCUACGCAAGGACUUGACGAGUCUAUGAACGAGUGAAUAUUUGCCCAUGAUUGAUGAGGUGUAUGGAUUACUCAUAGAGAAAACAAAAUCGACACCAGGGGCAAAAGUGGAAAACAAUAAGUUUUGUUUGUCUGUGCAUUUCCGAUGCGUUGAAGAGAAGAAAUGGAGCGAGUUAGCUGCCCAAGGGAGAUCAGUGCUCAAACACUACCCGAAGCUCCGGUUCUCCCAAAGAAGGAAGGUGUUGGAGAUGAGGCGCACAAUCAAGUGGGACAAAGGCAAGGCUCUUGAGUAUUUGUUAGAGUCACUUGGUAUGUCGUCGUUCUGUCUGUUCCUGGUAAUUAGUUUAGUUAUGUAAAUUGCUUUAUCUAAUAAAACUAGGUUAUAACCUCGUGUAUUACACGGGUUGAAUAAAUAAAUUUUAUAUACUAAAUAAUAAAACAAUAUAUCUUUAAAAACCUCCUUUAUUGCACGGGUUGAAUAAAUAUAAUUUUAUAUAUUAAAUAAUAAAGUUAUAUCUAUAAGAACCAUAUUGUACAGGUUGAAUAAAUGUAAUUUUAUAUAUCAAAUAAUAAAAAAGUUAUAUCUUUAAAACCACGUGUAUUACAUGGGUUGAAUAAAUGUAAUAAUGUUUAUCAAAUAAUAAAAAAAAGUUAUAUGUUUAAAACCCUCGUGUAUUACACGACUUGAAUAAAAAUGAUUUUAUAUACCAAAAAAUAAGAAAAUUAUAUUUAAAAAAAACUAAUAGGUAUAAUCGGUACACGAUAGAUAUGGUGAUUGCGGAGAUAAUUAUUGAAAAGAAACUACAGUGGUCAAACAUGUUAUUCAAGAAGCAAAUAAACAGCCAUUUGAGUGAUAAAAUAUAAAUUACAUUUAAAAAGCCCGUAAUAAAUAUAAUUUUAUAUAUAAAGUAAUAUUGAAAUUAUAUACAAUUUGUUUAAAAUUAUGUAAUAAAAUAGAUAUAAUAUUUUUUUUAAUAAUGAAAAUAAAAAUAAAUAAUAUAUUAAUACAAAGUUUGAUUUUAGUGAUAAAUAAUUUGGUUAUUUAAAAAUAUCUUAAAUUAACAAUUUAAAUUUAAGAAUAAUAUUUUAUUAGAAAAAUAUAAGUAUUCUAUUCGACAUUUAAAGUAGAAUAAGAUUUAAUAUUAAUUUUUGUUUAUUUGGUAAUCGAACAGAAUAAGAGUAAAUUUGUAUAUUACAAAUAAAAGUAUGUGUUUGUCAUAUGAUAUAGAAACUCAAAUAAAUUAUAUUAUACAUAAGAAGUAUAUAUUAAAUUUAAAUUAAAUAAUAAUUAUCUAUAGUUAACUAGAAGAGAUUAAACAAAAUAAUAUUUAGUAGAAGAGUUAUCUAUAAUUAUUUAGAACAGAUUAAAUUAAAUAAUAAUUAUCUAUAAGAUAUUAAACUAAAUAAUAUUUCAUAGGAGGGUUAUCCAUAAUUAAUAAGAAGAGAUUAAACUUAAAUAAUAAUUAUCUAUAAGACAUGGGAUAAUAUGAUGACAAGUGUCCCAAAGUUGGUUUCUUUUAUUAUAUAGUAUAGAUUCAUUAUGGGUUGAGCAAAUAGAAGGGUUAGUGAAGAUAAUUGAGGCGUUGAUAAAAAAGCAAGAUGAGCAGUUUUCGGUUUUGGUGGGAAUAGUUGGUAUAGAUGUGGCGAGAGAUAAGGCGGCAGCUGAUAAAA
Molecule: long non-coding RNA, 3223 nt
Organism: Helianthus annuus (common sunflower)
Lineage: Eukaryota; Viridiplantae; Streptophyta; Magnoliopsida; Asterales; Asteraceae
Exons: 11
Source: RefSeq, a predicted model, not a curated record